UUUCCUCCCUCAUAAUCCCUUUGUCUCGCCAUUUCUUCCAUUUCUCUCUCCCUCUGACCCUUUCUUUCUCUCUCACUCUUUCUCUCUCCUCCCUGUUCUCUCCUAAAUGAGAGAUUAUAAGAAAGAGAGAGAGAAGUAGGGAUGGAUUUCUAUGUCAGCCCUGACCCCGAGGCCUCUGCUGGCAGAGUAGAGGGGCUAAUCAUAGCUUCCGGUGUUGCCCAGGCUGCCCAGAGAAACUCCGCCCACUCACGUGUCAUCCCUGAACUCCUGCUGGAAUAGGCACGUGUGACUAAAAGGAAGAGGAGGCCAGGCUGACUUGCUAUCUGCACUGGGUAAAAAUGUUCAACAGGAAGUGUAUGGUGUGACGCAAGCCCCACACACCGUCAUGUAAUGAGGGACAAUGGAUUUCCUGGGAAAUGGUCAGCAACCGUGAGCAGCCUCAGGGCAUCGUUGUCACGCAUCCGAGUUGGCCACCGGAGCGCUUGGAGAAUGCAGGAAGAGGAUGAACGAGAUGCAGGAGAGGGAAAAAAGAGGCCCUGGAUACUUCUGAGACACAGAGGGACCUAAGACCAGCACGAUCCUAAGCACACCACUGGGGUGGUGAAACUGCACCUAACUAUGCCCUGAGCCUCUGAGGUGCCGAGCUGUAGCACGUUCAGGUCAUGCUUUUCACUUCACUUCGCCUUCUGCUAAGCAGAGCGAAAGAGAGCCUGGAUUUUCAC
Long non-coding RNA from Anguilla anguilla (European eel), 722 nucleotides. RefSeq lists it as uncharacterized. The transcript is spliced from 3 exons. The record is from RefSeq and is a predicted model, not a curated record. Lineage: Eukaryota; Metazoa; Chordata; Actinopteri; Anguilliformes; Anguillidae.